RNAcentral lists this ribosomal RNA (637 nucleotides) under uncultured fungus. RNAcentral's name for it is "eukaryotic LSU rRNA". It matches the Rfam family "Eukaryotic large subunit ribosomal RNA", at positions 1 to 615 of the family's 3401-position model. Lineage: Eukaryota; Fungi. The record is from RNAcentral.
GACCUCAAAUCAGGUAGGACUACCCGCUGAACUUAAGCAUAUCAAUAAGCGGAGGAAAAGAAACUAACAAGGAUUCCCCUAGUAACUGCGAGUGAAGCGGGAAAAGCUCAAAUUUGUAAUCUGGUGGCUCUUGGCCAUCCGAGUUGUAAUCUAGAGAAGUGUUACCCGUGCUGGACUGUGUACAAGUCUCCUGGAAUGGGGCAUCAUAGAGGGUGAGAAUCCCGUCUUUGACACGGACUACCAGUGCACUGUGGGUGUGCUCUCGAAGAGUCGAGUUGUUUGGGAAUGCAGCUCAAAAUGGGUGGUAAAUGCCAUCUAAAGCUAAAUAUUGGCGAGAGACCGAUAGCGAACAAGUACCGUGAGGGAAAGAUGAAAAGUACUUUGGAAAGAGAGUUAAACAGUACGUGAAAUUGCUGAAAGGGAAACGCUUGAAGUCAGUCGCGUCGGCAGGGAAUCAGCCUCGCUUUUGCUUGGUGUACUUUCCUGUCUUGACGGGUCAGCAUCAAUCUUGACCACUGGAUAAAGUCCAUGGGAAUGUAGCAUCUUUUGGAUGUGUUAUAGCCUGUUGUCGCAUACGGUGGUUGGGAUUGAGGAACUCAGCACGCCCGCGAGGGACGGGUUCGACCACGUUUUCGUG